This 2133-nucleotide long non-coding RNA is filed under the name Homo sapiens (human). Its description in RNAcentral is "PREDICTED lncRNA (TCONS_00006619)". Lineage: Eukaryota; Metazoa; Chordata; Mammalia; Primates; Hominidae. The record is from RNAcentral.
GCCGGGCUCCGCGCCCGCCAGCGCUGCUCCCUCCCAGCGCGGAGACGCCGCGCCCGGCCGGGACAGCCGGGGACGGUGGCGGAGAGCACGGAGAGUAAUUAAGCAAUUAGCGACGUGUUGUUAAAAGAUGGAGCAACUCAACCCAAAAAGGUUGGUCUGUAUGGUGACGGAAUGUGGUCUCCCAGUUUUCAGCACAGCACUCAUUCAGCUAUUCUGCUCUUCAGAAAGCAGGAGGGAUGUGCCCUAAGGUGGACUAUUGAAAUGAUGAAAGCCACUGAGGAAGAGCCAGAGAAUUCUCGUAGCUGUGAUUAGACAUCAACCUUGGGCAUGCUAAACAUUUCAGCCUGGACACCCUGAGAAGAGCCAGUGCCACUGGUGACAGCUGCUUCUGUGCGGGCUUUUGCUUGGCCAGAGAGGCAGGACCUUCUCCCUGGCAUUUUGAGGAGUGGUGCCGGGUGGGCAGUGACUGCACUAGCAACAGUCUAUACCAAGAGAAGACCUCAAAUUCCCAGAGAAGAAAGGCAGCGAGGCCAAGAAAUGCUGCCGCCGCUUAACAAGUGAAGAUGCAUACUGGAGAAUAGGAACUGAACACGCGAAGGAGUUUCGGCUUUACUGCCUUCUCUCCUAGCAUUGAACAGAUCUUCUCUGCUGUUGAUUAUUCUCCAUGAAUCAUCAUCCAUAGAAAGUGACUGAGGCAAUAGAGAGUGAAUAAUGAAUCUCUCAAAUAGUCUUUUGUGUUUCUGCCUGGAGGGUUUUGGAAAUAACUUGCAUCUUAAUCUUUCUGACUUAGAAUCAUAGAAUUUGGGAGCUGAAAAGGACCUUCAUCAGGGCAUGUGGCCUCACAGAAAGACUGGAAGAAAAGAUUUGUGGGUAUGAGCCUCUGGUUCAUCACUAAAAAUAGGCCUAGUCUAACAUAUAUUGGAGGCUUUCCUUGUGUCAGGUACUCAUUUAUUCUUCCAAAACCUUGGGAGGUAGGUGCUGCUAUUCCUCCAUUCUGCAGAGGAGGAAGAGAUGAGGAGACAGUAGAUCACCAGAGGGCAGUGUGAGGGGUGUGCUGGAACCAUCAUGUGGAACUGGCUCUGGUUCCAGAAUCCACAUCCUCUCGGUCAUUCCACUCCCACAUCAAGUGGCUUUGGACAAGUAAUUUAACUUCUUUGGAUCUCAGUUUUCUCCUCCGUGAUCUCUAAAGUUUAAAAAUUACUAACAGUCUGCAUCUGCCACCCAAGCAUGUGAUUUUACAAGUCAGAAAAGUGUAGCGCAGAAAUGUUAAGUGACCUGCCCUAGGUCACCCAGGUUGCUAAGGGCAGAAUCAGCACAGAAACCCAGGCCCAGUGACCACUGCCCCCAGGCAAGACCUCCUUCCCUUCCACUGCACUUUGGCAGGUGUUCUAGGGGAAUCCAACUCCUUGCCUUAGAGGAGACCUGUUCAAUGAUAUCAGAUAGACUGGAGAUGUUACGUUUUGGUGUGGCCAAUCACAACACCAGGAUGAGCUUAGGAGGCUGGUGAUAUUUGUCUAUCUAAGCACCCCCAACCUAUCUAUCUGUCUGCUGUUUGUCUAUCUUUCUCAGGUUAUGCAUAGUGACCAAACCCCGCCUGGUAACUGUAGGGAAAGAGCAUGACUGGUGUGUUACAGCUACACACGCCCCCUGGUGGUAUUUCCAGUUGUUUGUCCUCUUCAUGCAAAUGUUGCCACCUUGUGCCAGCUCUCUCACCUAGCUUCCUUCAUGACGACAGUGGUUGCAAUUCUGCUCCUCUCUCUGCCUUCCCCUGUCCUUGGCUCCCCAUGUCCAGAAUCUGAUCAUUUACUGGUGUGCACCCUGGGAUGUGAUGUGUGCUUUGGGAGGAGACAGGACCCAACAGUAUCUCAGCUGUGCUCUGGUAAUCAGUGUGCACCACAUUACAAGCAUCCUCAUCCCAGUAUCCUCCCUAUUGAAAAAGAAAUGGGAAAGGGGUGGAUGUGUCAAUAAACACAACAUUGAAGGCAUCUGAAAUAGAACAAGGACAUCCUGGGUGAGGCAUUAUUCACAAUGUGUAUCCAUAUAUGUGUGUGAGUGUGUGUGUGUGUGUGUGGUUCAGACAGUCUGAAAUGAGCUCUCACCCACUGGUGAGUGGAAAAUUAGCUUUGGCAGGUG